Molecule: ribosomal RNA, 253 nt
Filed under: uncultured bacterium
Lineage: Bacteria
Description: partial 16S ribosomal RNA
Rfam family: Bacterial small subunit ribosomal RNA
Source: RNAcentral
UACGUAGGGUGCUAGCGUUGUUCGGAAUCAUUGGGCGUAAAGCGCGUGUAGGCUGUUAAUUAAGUCGGGUGUGAAAUCCCUGGGCUCAACCGAGGAAGUGCAUCCGAAACUAAUUAGCUAGAGAAUGGUAGAGGAAGGUGGAAUUCCUAGUGUAGAGGUGAAAUUCGUAGAUAUUAGGAGGAAUACCGGUGGCGAAGGCGGCCUUCUGGACCAUUUCUGACGCUGAGACGCGAAAGCGUGGGUAGCAAACAGG